ACCCACACGGAAAAAAUAGAGUGAUGCAUUUCAAUUUAGGAAAAAAUAUAUAUCUCUUCAACGUUCUCUUCAAUAUUCUUUAUGGCAUUUCAACUUUAUAUUCAACAAGUUUGCAUCAGGCAGGCUUACUGAUAGCAUGAUAAUUACCAACCACGCAAACAAACGAAAAAGCAGACAAAAAGAACAGCAGCAUCAUGCAAGGAUGGACUGUAGCAGCCUAACCAGACAUACACAUGGCACAAUGGCCAUGAACGCAGAGCAACCACCAUAGUCGUGGUUCCGUGAAAACGACAAGCUCAGACCAACCACCAGACGCAGGGAGAAGAUUAAGGGAAGG
RNAcentral lists this long non-coding RNA (337 nucleotides) under Hordeum vulgare. RNAcentral's name for it is "long non-coding RNA (HVUL_LNC015076)". Lineage: Eukaryota; Viridiplantae; Streptophyta; Magnoliopsida; Poales; Poaceae. The record is from RNAcentral.